AGCAGCAGUCAGUUAGUUCCCGAUCAGUUCAGCAGCUACUUUGAGGUGAGUUACCUUCCAGUAGCGGUGGGUCUAAGGCCACAAUGCCGACCCACCAGUAGGAGUUGUAUGAUAGAUGAUUGUCUUUGUGAUAUCAUCUAAGUUCGCUAGUACCUGACAUGUUAUAUGCUAGCAUGAUAUGCUGUAUGUGAUAGUAGUAGAGUUUGGUUGUUCGGACCGAAGGGUAGUCAGACACCCCAGAUACGUCUGACAGUAUGUGACGAUAUGUAUGCAUGCUGGCUUGUUAUGUUAUAUGUGAUCGUAGUAGUAGGGGUGAAAUAGUCCCCGAGGAUCGGUUGUUAGGACCGAUGGGUAGUCAGCACCCCAGAAUGGCUUGACACGGGUAAGACGGCACCCCAGAAUGGCCGUAUGGGUAGGUCGGCACCCCAGAAUGGCCGUACCGGGUAGUCAGGCACCCCAGAAUAGCCUGGCAGUAUAUAUGUUAUGUGUUUGUAUGGUAUGCGGUACGUUGGGGGAACUCACUAAGCUUUGUGCUUACGUUUACAGUUUUGUUUUCAGGUACCUCUGCAUCGAAGGGGAAGGAGCCGGCGCGGUAGCGGCACGUCAUACACACACUCUUCGGUUUCCGCAUUUAUGAGAUUUACUGGGAUUGUACUCUGAUAUUUGAUGGGAUGUACGGUUUGGCUUUUGAGAACAUGGUUGCAAUGUGUUAUGGUGUGAACAAACAAUGUUUCUUUUUAUUUAGACAAUGUUUUUAUUUAUUAAUGUUUUCUAAAGUAAUAUCAAAAAAAAAAAAAAAUAAAAUUUGGGUCGUUACAAGUUGGUAUCAGAGCCCUGGUUUGAGGGAUUCGGACACGCCUUCGGGAGUGUUUGGACUCAAACCGAGGGAUUGAAAGAUUUUUCCAAAAGAAAUUAUUCUUUAAAACCCGGAAAAGAGUCACGAGAAAGAGUAAAGUGUGUGACGUGCGCGACCGGCCGAGCUCAAGUAAGUAUUCCCCAUAGUACCCAUACAAGUUUAUGUUAUGUUUAUCAGCUUUAUGAAUAUUGCAUGCUAGAAUAGGCUAAGGAUCUAGGAGUGAUGCCUUAUGUGCCUGUUUAUUUGUUCCAGCUUAUUGAAUAUUGCAUGCUAGAAUUGAGUAGACAGCAGUAGGGUAGCCUGUUUAGGUUAUGCCUGAUAGUAUGAGCUUAGCAUCCUAUGUUAAGUGUCGUUUCUUGUUCUAAGAACAGUUUUGGCUUGAGUCUGUUUUUCCUUAUCCGAAUGCUGCUUGCUUCGUGCUCGGUGGGAUUCUGAGUAAUGGGAGUGAGCCACUAGGUAAACACGUCACACCACAUGUAAUCAGGGUUGAAUAAUCCCAAAGUGUUGGAACUGGCCCUAUUGCGCAGCUCUUGUUUGAGUCCAACCGUUGUAGGGACGGAUCUUUUACUUGAAGGAUUAUCUAAUCCUCAUUACAUGUGAUGGUGUUUAGGUGGUGGCUAACUGGCAUUAUGAGGAGACCUACAGCAGCUGAGGACCAGUUGUGUUGAACUUGAGUUCUCCCUAGGGCAAGCCUAGGGUGAGAAUAUCGGAGAGUAGCAGUAGUAGAGGGGAGUUGGUGGAGUCGAGGAAUUCCUCGGAGAAGGUACGGAUAGAUGUGGAAGGUAGUAUGGGCCCGUACUACUGAAAGCAGAGGAUCCGUACCCGAGCCGAGGAAGGCCAAGACGAGACCAAGGAACCUGUAAGUAGUUGAGAUCCCUCAGAAAGUAGCAGUACCACUAAUGAUUAUUAUUGAUGUUUUGCAGAAUGGUGGUACUUCGACCGAGACCGACAGAUGGCGGGUCAGGAGAGGGGUCAGGUUCGGGAUCUGGCACCGAGCCGAUUGAGGAGAGGCUACGUGAGUUCAUCACGUCGGAGAUCACUAGGGGCAUCCUUGAGUCGACCCCCAUCAUCUUUGGGUCGAUCAAGGAAGGGAUCGUGGAGAUGAUGGAGGAUCGCCUACGGGCAUUCAGGAGCGACUUGGCCUCUAGCCAGUCAGGAUCUCGCACACUGUCCUUCAAGGACUUCAGGAGCAGUGGUGCGCCGGAUUUCCAUGGGGUGAAGGACCCCAUUGUCGCCAGGCGGUGGAUUGCGGAUAUCGAGUCCGCCCAGUUGAUCAGCUUCUGCCCCGAGGGGUCGAAGGUGAGGUACGCAGCAGGGUGUUUACGGGACCGGGCCCGAGAUUGGUGGGAGUCAGUGGGUGACUCGAUGGGAGCCUCGGCUGUCGAGGCAAUGACCUGGUCGGACUUUGUGACUAGGUUCAGGGCAGAGUUUGCGCCAGCGGUCGAGCUUCAGCAGCUGGCCAGGGAGUUCUUAGACAUGAGGCAGACGACAGAGACCGUGGCGGAGAUCACCGCCAAGUUUCGGGAGAGGGCUUUAUUGGUGCCCCAGUAUGCAGGUGACGAGGAUAUGAGGAGGACUCGUUACCACGACAUGCUACGAGCUGACAUUCGGGAGCAUGUUAGCUUUUCGGCUUGCCCUACCCUGGACUCCAUGAUUGCCAGGGCUAGGGAGAGAGAGAUAGAUUUGGAGCACAUCCGGAAACGGAAACUUGAGGAUGGUCAGUCAUCGGGGGCUUCGGGGAAGAAGCCCAAGGGAUCAGAUGGGAGGCCGAAAGGCCAGUCGGGACCGAGCCGCUGCAGGAGGUGCGGCAGGCCGCACGAGGGGGCGUGCAGGAUGGGAUCGUCAGGCUGCUACAAGUGCGGCAAGUUUGGGCAUAUCAGCAGGGAUUGCACUGCUCCUGCGACCGUUAUUCAGACAUCGGAGUUGCUGUGUUUCCACUGCAACCAGAGGGGCCACAAGAAGGCCAAUUGCCCCAUGUUGACAGCUUCAGCGCCAGUGAAGGCGCCAGCUCCAGCGACCCUGCGGAUCACGGAUGGCCGUCAGGGCAAGGCAGAGGCUCCAGUGGUGAGGAGUCGGGCAUUUCAGUUGACUGCCGAGGAGGCACGCGCCGCGCCCGAUGUGGUGACGGGUAUGAUUCCUUCCUUCUAUCUUUUAUUUUACGUUGUUAUGAUAUUGAUAUGUGCUCCGUGUGUAUACAUGUGUAUUAGGAUCGUUCCAUGUGAACGGCAUCCCGGUUCAGGUAUUGUUCGACUCGGGUGCAUCCCGAUCGUUCGUUUCUCUUGCUCUUAGCAAGAGAUUUCAUGAGACUUCAGGCGAGUUAGAUUGCCCGUUAGAGGUAGAGAUUGCCGAUGAUCGAUCGGUGCGAGCAUCGAUGGUGUUUCGAGAUUGUGUCCUGCGACUGUUUGAGGAGUGUUACCUGGUAGACUUGGUUCCCAUUCCAUUGCGUGGGAACAAGGUGAUUAUUGGUAUGGAUUGGUUGAGCCCUAAUGGGGCAGUGAUAGAUUGCGCACAGCAGCUAGUGCGAGUCAAGACCCCAAGCGGGGGAGAGUUAGUGAUUCAUGGAGAGCGGCCGCAGUGUGGACCCACUGUAUGUUCAGCAGCGAGGGCUAGGCGCUACCUUCAGCAGGGAUGCGCGGGUUAUGUCGCGUACGUGAUGGACACCCGGGAGGCGGGUAAGGCGACCGUGAGCGAGGUCCCGGUGGUUCGAGAUUUUGCUGAUGUUUUUCCGGAGGAACUACCUGGGAUACCUCCGGAGCGACAGGUGGAGUUCAGGAUUGACCUCGUUCCCGGUGCGGCUCCGAUAGCCAAAGCACCGUAUCGGUUGGCUCCUCCCGAGAUGCAGGAGUUGUCUACGCAGCUGCAGGAGCUGCUGGACAAGGGAUUUAUUCGGCCGAGCAGUUCGCCCUGGGGAGCCCCGAUUCUGUUUGUGAAGAAGAAGGAUGGGUCGCAUCGGAUGUGUAUAGAUUAUCGGGAGCUGAACAAGGUAACGGUGAAGAACCGUUACCCGCUUCCGAGGAUUGAUGACCUCUUUGACCAGCUUCAGGGCGCAUCUUGGUUCUCCAAGAUUGAUUUGCGUUCGGGUUAUCAUCAGAUGAGGGUCAGGGAGGAGGAUAUGCAGAAGACCGCGUUUCGGACGCGCUAUGGCCAUUACGAGUUUGUGGUGAUGCCGUUUGGGCUCACCAAUGCUCCUGCCGCGUUCAUGGACCUCAUGAACCGUGUAUGCAGACCGAUGCUGGACCGGUCUGUGAUAGUCUUUAUCGAUGAUAUCUUGGUUUAUUCCAAGACCCGGGAGGAACAUGAGGAGCAUUUGAGAGAGGUGUUAGAGACCCUGAGGAGGGAGAGCUUGUAUGCCAAGUUCUCCAAGUGUGAGUUUUGGUUGCGCGAGGUGCAAUUUCUGGGGCACCUCGUCAACCAGAACGGGAUUCUGGUCGAUCCGGCCAAGGUCGAGGCCGUGAUGAGAUGGGAGGUUCCGAAGUCCCCAUCUGAGAUUCGGAGCUUCCUAGGAUUGGCAGGCUACUAUCGGAGAUUUAUCCAGGAUUUCUCCAAGAUAGCCGUGCCCCUGACGCGGCUGACGAAGAAAGCCGUGGUCUUUCGGUGGGGACCCGAGCAGCAGGCUGCAUUUGAGACGCUGAGACAGAGAUUGUGUGAGGCGCCGAUCUUAGCCCUGCCAGAGGGCGUAGAGGAUUUCGUGGUUUAUUGCGAUGCGUCCAUUUCUGGGUUGGGCGCGGUGCUGAUGCAAAGGGGGCAUGUCAUUGCUUACGCUUCGAGGCAGCUCAAGCCUCACGAGGCGAACUACCCGACGCACGAUUUGGAGUUGGGGGCGGUGGUAUUUGCCCUCAAGAUUUGGCGACAUUACCUCUAUGGGGUUCGGUGUACCAUCUACACGGACCACAAGAGCUUGAGGUACCUCAUGGACCAGCCGAAUCUGAACAUGAGGCAGCGUCGGUGGUUGGAUGUGGUGAAGGAUUAUGAUUGCGAGAUCCUUUACCACCCGGGAAAGGCCAAUGUGGUGGCCGAUGCGCUUAGCCGCAAGACGGCGCCGAUCAGGGACGCCUGUUUGAGGAUGACUGUGGUGACUCCCCUGUUGGAGCAGAUUCGGGAAGCUCAACAGGAGGCUAUCAAGGAGGAGCAUCGGAAGAACGAGCGCGUAGUAGGUCAGGUUUCCUCCUUCGAUUAUGAUAGCCGAGGGUUAUUGACACUACACCAUAGGGUGUGGGUGCCGUAUCACGGGGGCGUGCGCCAGAUUUUGAUGGAGGAGGCGCACAAGUCCCGAUUCUCUAUUCAUCCCGGGGCGACGAAGAUGUAUAGGGAUCUUCGUCUAGACUAUUGGUGGCCCUGCAUGAAGCGGGAUGUGGCAUGGUACGUCGAGCGGUGCUUGACCUGCAGGAAGGUCAAGGCCGAACAUCAGAGGCCGCAUGGCAAGAUGCAGCCGUUGGACAUUCCACUGUGGAAGUGGGAAGAUAUCACGAUGGAUUUUAUCACGAAGCUUCCCAGGACCGCACGUGGAGUGGAUUCGAUUUGGGUCAUCGUGGAUAGAUUGACCAAGAGUGCUCACUUUAUUCCGAUUCCGGAGAGCAUAUCGGCCGAGAAAUUGGCCGACAUCUAUAUCAGGGAGAUUGUGGCACGGCAUGGGGUGCCAGUAUCGGUGAUCUCGGACAGGGAUGUGCGUUUUACUUCCAGGUUUUGGAAGAGAUUCCAUGACGAGUUGGGCACUCGUCUGCAUUUCAGCACCGCCUUUCACCCGCAGACAGAUGGACAGAGUGAGCGGACCAUCCAGACUUUGGAGGACAUGUUGCGGGCGUGUGUUCUGGAUUUCGGUGGUAGCUGGGAUACCUAUCUUCCUUUGGCUGAGUUCUCCUACAACAACAGCUAUCACGCGAGUAUCGACCGCCCUCCCUUCGAGAUGUUGUACGGACGGAGGUGUAGGACCCCGAUAUGCUGGGGUGAGGUUGGCCAGAGAGUUAUGGGAAGCACCGAAGUGGUGCUCAAGACGACUGAGAGGAUACAGCAGGUCCGGAGCAGGCUUCAGACUGCUCAGAGUCGACAGAAAAGUUAUGCCGACAAGCGUCGAUCCGAUUUAGAGUUCCAGGUCGGGGAUAUGGUCCUCCUGAAGGUGUCACCGUGGAAAGGCGUCAUCCGAUUCAGGAAGCGGGGCAAGUUGGGCCCGCGAUUCAUCGGACCGUUCAGGGUCUUAGCCCGGGUGGGCAAGGUAGCAUAUAGGCUGGAUCUGCCAGCCGAGCUUAGCCAGAUCCACAGCACUUUCCAUGUUUCGCAGUUGCGGAAGUGCCUAGUGGACGAUUCUGCAGUAGUACCUUUGGAGGAUAUUCAGGUUGAUGACAGCCUGAACUACAUCGAGCGCCCAGUCGCAAUCCUCGACAGGAAGUCGAAGGAUUUAAGGAACAAGAGGGUGGAGCUAGUGAAGGUGCAAUGGCAGCACCGCAAGGGUUCAGAGUGGACUUGGGAGCCGGUAGACGAGAUGAUGGAGCACUACCCCGAGCUGUUUCAGGAUCAGGCAGCAGACUUCGAGGACGAAGUCUAAAAUAAGUGGGGGAGAUGUGUAGCACCUGGUUUCCGGUAUGUGAAUUUUAUUUGAGCAUUGCCCUAAUUUAGCCUUAGACUCGGCGAGUCAUAGGGUCCGACUCGCCGAGUAGGGACGAGACUCAGGACGCGUUUUAAGUAGGCGACUCGACGAGUCCAUAUCCUGGACUCGGCGAGUCACCGCUGCGGGAUGAAACCCUAAGUUUCAAGGGUUUGCACCCUAUUUAAACUCUCAUUCCGCCCCAACUCGUCCCCAUUCACCCCCAGAACUCCCCCUACAUCGUUUUCCCUUGUUUUCUUGAGAGUUUGAGGUGUUCUUGGUGUGUUCUUGAAGGUUUUGAAGAGUAAGAGGAGUAGAUCAAGAAGAGGAGAAGGAGAUCAGCCAUCCUUGUGUCAUUUCAACAUUUCCUUUGAGGUAUAACCCGUUUUCCCCUUGAUUCUAUGCUUAAAACUUCAUUUGGGUCCUUCUUGGUCAAUUCCCCAAGUUUGCAUGUUCAUUAUAUGUUGUAAUAAGGCGUUUGGCCUUUGGAUCUAUGUAAGAUUGAGCUCCAGGAGCUCAGAUCUGUUAGCUUUUUGGCCUCAUGAGGCUUGUUAGCCCUAGAUCUACCAUUUUGAGACAUUUUGAGCCUUAUAAUCCAUAUUGGUGAAUAUCCACACGUAAAGUUGGAAACUUUACGUGUGAUUCGUGUCCUAGAAGUCCAGAUCUAUGAAUGGCAUGGUCUGGAACCGAGCAAAUCGGUAUAUUUAAGGAGUGCAUGGCGACGACUCGGCGAGUCGCAUAGGUGACUCGGCGAGUCUGGUCGCGAGUCACCGAAUUGGUCCCUUCUUCAUGUGUCGAGUUGAGCCUUGAGUCACAGGGGGUGACUCGGUGAGUUGGGAGCUGAACUCACCCAUGUUAGGACUCGGCGAGUCAAUGCCCUGACUCGGCGAGUCCAAGGCAAUCUUCAUAGCUCAAGAACAGACUCGGCGAGUUGUUCAUACAACUCGGCGAGUCUUAGCAUAAAGUGUUCAUCGGAUGAAGAUGAACUCGACGAGUUGUUCAUACAACUCGGCGAGUAGGAUGAAGGUGUUGAAUGGCAGUUAGAAGGUGAACUCGUCGAGUCAUAGCCCGACUCGACGAGUAGAACCAGGGACCCAGGACAUUGGUUUGCUAGGGACUCGGCGAGUGGUGAUCCACUCGGCGAGUCGGGUCAACUGAAAGUUGACUCCAGCUUUGGCUUAGAGUUAAUCCAGGGGUAAAAUGGUCAUUUUACCUAAAGGACAGUUAGCAGUGUUUGAUUGAGUAUGUCGUGGAAAUUGCAGCCGGAGGACUCCCGGAGCAGCAGCAGUCAGUUAGUUCCCGAUCAGUUCAGCAGCUACUUUGAGGUGAGUUACCUUCCAGUAGCGGUGGGUCUAAGGCCACAAUGCCGACCCACCAGUAGGAGUUGUAUGAUAGAUGAUUGUCUUUGUGAUAUCAUCUAAGUUCGCUAGUACCUGACAUGUUAUAUGCUAGCAUGAUAUGCUGUAUGUGUUAGUAGUAGAGUUUGGUUGUUCGGACCGAAGGGUAGUCAGACACCCCAGAUACGUCUGACAGUAUGUGACGAUAUGUAUGCAUGCUGGCUUGUUAUGUUAUAUGUGAUCGUAGUAGUAGGGGUGAAAUAGUCCCCGAGGAUCGGUUGUUAGGACCGAUGGGUAGUCAGCACCCCAGAAUGGCUUGACACGGGUAAGACGGCACCCCAGAAUGGCCG
Molecule: long non-coding RNA, 8121 nt
Filed under: Lactuca sativa (garden lettuce)
Lineage: Eukaryota; Viridiplantae; Streptophyta; Magnoliopsida; Asterales; Asteraceae
Description: long non-coding RNA (LSAT_LNC009433)
Source: RNAcentral